This 460-nucleotide ribosomal RNA is filed under the name uncultured bacterium. RNAcentral describes it as "bacterial SSU rRNA". It matches the Rfam family "Bacterial small subunit ribosomal RNA", at positions 340 to 789 of the family's 1533-position model. The record is from RNAcentral.
UACGGAAGGCAGCAGUGGGGAAUAUUGCACAAUGGGCGAAAGCCUGAUGCAGCUAUGCCGCGUGUAUGAAGAAGGCCUUAGGGUUGUAAAGUACUUUCAUCGGGGAGGAAAAAACAAAACUAAUAAUUUUAUUUCUUGACGUUACCCGAAAAAGAAGCACCGGCUAACUCCGUGCCAGCAGCCGCGGUAAUACGGAGGGUGCUAGCGUUAAUCAGAAUUACUGGGCGUAAAGAGCACGUAGGUGGUUUUUUUAAAGUCAGAUGUGAAAUCCCUGGGCUUUAACCUGGAACUGCAUUUUGAAACUGAAAUACUAGAGUAUCGUAGAGGGAGGUAGAAUUCUAGGUGUAGCGGUGAAAUGCGUAGAUAUCUGGAGGAAUACCUGUGGCGAAAGCGGCCUCCUAAACGAAUACUGACACUGAGGGUGCGAAAGCUGGGGAGCAAACAGGGAUUAGAUACCCGU